Molecule: long non-coding RNA, 168 nt
Organism: Selaginella moellendorffii
Lineage: Eukaryota; Viridiplantae; Streptophyta; Lycopodiopsida; Selaginellales; Selaginellaceae
Exons: 2
Source: RefSeq, a predicted model, not a curated record
GUGAUUUUGAGUUUGGUGGUGAUUUUGGAGCUUUCCGCAGCUUCAGUUGAAAUGUCAGUUGAUUGGCCACUGAACAAUAACCGUUUCAAAGCCGUAGCAUGAGAAUGGCGACGCUCUAAAACUGACUUUAAUUUCAUUUUAUGAAAUAAUAAAAUUACUUUGCUCGUC